GUGACAGCAGCCGCGGUAAGACGGAGGGCGCAAGCGCUGUUCAGAAUUACUGGGCGUAAAGCGCGGGCAGGCGGCCCGCUAAGUCUGCGGUGAAAUCCCGGGGCUCAACCCCGGAUAUGCCGCGGAUACUGACGGGCUAGAGACCGGUAGAGGCGAGUGGAAUUCCUGGUGUAGCGGUGGAAUGCGUAGAGAUCAGCAGGAACACCGGUGGCGAAGGCGGCAUCCUGGACCAACACUGACGCUGAGGCGCGAAAGCUAGGGGAGCAAACGGGAUUAGAUACCCGGGUAGUCC
This 292-nucleotide ribosomal RNA is filed under the name uncultured bacterium. Its description in RNAcentral is "partial 16S ribosomal RNA". It matches the Rfam family "Bacterial small subunit ribosomal RNA", at positions 505 to 796 of the family's 1533-position model. The record is from RNAcentral.